Molecule: RNA transcript, 1034 nt
Organism: Lontra canadensis (Northern American river otter)
Lineage: Eukaryota; Metazoa; Chordata; Mammalia; Carnivora; Mustelidae
Gene: TRAPPC5
Gene name: trafficking protein particle complex 5
Exons: 2
Source: RefSeq, a predicted model, not a curated record
GCCGCUCUUGUCUUCCCAUUCCCCGCGCGGACCUCGUUGAGGACAAUCCCAUCAUCCCCAGACCCCUCUGGCCCCCUCCUGCGCAGUGGGAACCGGGUUCUCAGCUCCUCCCGACCCCACCCUGGGCAGCGGCUUCACGCAAGAGUGGGCGAGGGUCGGGGGGGCGGGAGAGGGUGUCUCAGCGCCCUUGGAGUCCUCCCAUCCGCUCCUACUCCUACACCCUCACCGCAGGUCAGCGUCGUGGAGGUCUCGGUGCCCCCUCCGGGUUUUCUCCAGUAGCCCCUUCCGGGUCUCUUCCGCGGACCCCUGGCUUGGUGCACUAGGAUGGGAGGACCACAGCGCCCCCUCCUGGCUCCCCCGGAGCCCGGGUCUCCCUCCACCUUGUCUCCCACUGUCCCGCUACCGUUCUGGAGGGCACGGAGGUGGAGGGGUUCCCAACGCCUUCUCUGCGGCCGCCUCCAGUCUUCCUUACAAACGAAGGCCCACCCGCAUCUUCAAGGAGGCGUGCUUCGUGCAUGCCAGACGACCGCUGUCAGAGCCCUUUCCUCCUGGCUUGUCCCGUGUACUCCUCUGUCAGUCCCUGAAACCCCAAACCCUCUUGGCUGUUGGUCUUGACACACCCUACCCCCUCUCUGGUUUCUUUGGCCUUCCGCAGGGGAGAGGCGGGCAAGUUCUCUUCAUCUGCAGGAAGUCAGCCCUGUGGCUGCUGGAGGCUUGUGGGGGACAGUGCCCAAGACUUCUGACGGCUCCCCCAUCCUUGUCCUCUCCUUGCCCUAGGUCUGACGCCCCCUCCCCCAUGCACUAGGUCUCUAGCUGCUCCCACAGGUGGCAGAGGGGGACAGGAAGGUGCUUUUCAUGUAGGAGCAAUCACCUGGAACUCGAAGGUGGGGAUGGUGUCCGGUCACCCCUGUGGUCUCCCUCUUGUGUCCUCCCACCACGAAACCCUUUCUUUGCUAAAGGUGUAAACCUGCUACUUUCCCCAUUUCCCGUCACUGGGGGAGGCGUGCUUUAUGUGCAGGGCGGCGGCGGCGGCA